This 473-nucleotide ribosomal RNA is filed under the name uncultured bacterium. RNAcentral describes it as "bacterial SSU rRNA". It matches the Rfam family "Bacterial small subunit ribosomal RNA", at positions 328 to 793 of the family's 1533-position model. The record is from RNAcentral.
CGCUAUCACUCCUACGGGAGGCAGCAGUGGGGAAUAUUGCACAAUGGGGGAAACCCUGAUGCAGCCAUGCCGCGUGUGUGAAGAAGGUCCUUCGGGUUGUAAAGCACUUUCAGUAGGGAGGAAGGUAGUGUAGUUAACACCUGCACUAUUUGACGUUACCUACAGAAGAAGCACCGGCUAACUCCGUGCCAGCAGCCGCGGUAAUACGGAGGGUGCGAGCGUUAAUCGGAAUUACUGGGCGUAAAGCGCAUGCAGGCGGCCUGUUAAGUCAGAUGUGAAAGCCCGGGGCUUAACCUCGGAAUUGCAUUUGAAACUGGCAGGCUAGAGUCUUGUAGAGGGGGUAGAAUUUCAGGUGUAGCGGUGAAAUGCGUAGAGAUCUGAAGGAAUACCAGUGGCGAAGGCGGCCCCCUGGACAAAGACUGACGCUCAGAUGCGAAAGCGUGGGGAGCAAACAGGAUUAGAUACCCUGGUAG